UGGAGGUUCGACAGGUAUAGAUAUUAGCUGGUUUAUAAUUACAAUCCUCAGUACAACAUGGUCCUUCUGUUGGACUACAAAGAAUACAAGACAGGUAGAGGUAUUAGAUGGUUUAUAAUCACAACUCUCAGUACAAGAAUCUUUAUUGUGAGUAUCCCCUGCUGACUGGUACGCCCGCUGUGUGAUACUAACAUUUAAAGCAGUUAGACUUCCCAUUCCUCUCGUUCACUACUGCCUCUUAGACUAACGUGAUGUUUCCUUUACUACACUCAGAGAAAUGAUCGUUGUUAGGGCGGUUACCCUUGGUCGCGCUUGGAUACAUGAUUAAGUUACCCCGAUCUUCUCCAGGUACGCAAAUAUAU
Molecule: long non-coding RNA, 362 nt
Organism: Saccostrea cuccullata (small rock oyster)
Lineage: Eukaryota; Metazoa; Mollusca; Bivalvia; Ostreida; Ostreidae
Exons: 3
Source: RefSeq, a predicted model, not a curated record